UCUCCUGUGGCUCAGUUGGUAGAGCAUGGUGUUUGCAGCGCUUGGGUUGUGGGUUCGAUUCCCACGGGGGAC
This 72-nucleotide transfer RNA is filed under the name Salmo salar (Atlantic salmon). It matches the Rfam family "tRNA". Rfam says of the family: Transfer RNA (tRNA) molecules are approximately 80 nucleotides in length. Lineage: Eukaryota; Metazoa; Chordata; Actinopteri; Salmoniformes; Salmonidae. The record is from Rfam by way of RNAcentral.